This 433-nucleotide ribosomal RNA is filed under the name uncultured bacterium. Its description in RNAcentral is "partial 16S ribosomal RNA". It matches the Rfam family "Bacterial small subunit ribosomal RNA", at positions 29 to 507 of the family's 1533-position model. The record is from RNAcentral.
AACGAACGCUGGCGGCAUGCCUAACACAUGCAAGUCGAACGAGACCUUCGUGUCUAGUGGCGCACGGGUGCGUAACGCGUGGGAACCUGCCCUUAUGCUCGGAAUAACUCUCCGAAAGGGGUGCUAAUACCGGAUAACGUCUGCGGACCAAAGAUUUAUCGCGUUUGGAUGGGCCCGCGUUCGAUUAGCCAGUUGGUAGGGUAAAAGCCUACCAAGGCGACGAUCCAUAGCUGGUAUGAGAGGAAGAGCAGCCACACUGAGACUGGGAUACGGCCGAGAAUCCUACGGGAGGCAGCAGAGGGGGAUAUUGGACAAUGGGCGAAGGCCUGAUCCAGCAAUGCCGCGUGAGUGAUGAAGGCCUUAGAGUUGUAAAGCUCUUUUACCCGGGAUGAUAAUGACAGUACCGGGAGAAUAAGCACCGGCUAACUCCGUG